RNAcentral lists this unclassified non-coding RNA (316 nucleotides) under plant metagenome. RNAcentral describes it as "partial contains 5.8S ribosomal RNA, internal transcribed spacer 2, and large subunit ribosomal RNA". The stretch from base 1 to 105 matches the Rfam family "5.8S ribosomal RNA", at positions 50 to 154 of the family's 154-position model. The record is from RNAcentral.
GAAAUGCGAUAAGUAGUGUGAAUUGCAGAAUUCAGUGAAUCAUCGAAUCUUUGAACGCACAUUGCGCCCCUUGGUAUUCCAUGGGGCAUGCCUGUUCGAGCGUCAUCUACACCCUCAAGCUCUGCUUGGUGUUGGGCGUCUGUCCCCGCCUCCGCGCGCGGACUCGCCCCAAAUCCAUUGGCAGCGUCCCCUCGCCCCCCUCUCGCGCAGCACGAAUGUGCAUGACGAGGGAGCGGCUCCCGGGAUCGCGACCCACCCCCAAGAUGACCACCGUCUUUGACCUCGGAUCAGGUAGGGAUACCCGCUGAACUUAAGC